Mustela lutreola (European mink) is the source of this 2292-nucleotide long non-coding RNA. RefSeq lists it as uncharacterized. The transcript is spliced from 2 exons. NCBI's taxonomy places the organism in Eukaryota, Metazoa, Chordata, Mammalia, Carnivora, Mustelidae. The record is from RefSeq and is a predicted model, not a curated record.
UAGGAGACACAAAUUGGAUAUUCAUUUUUUUACCCUUGCCUAAUGUGACCUCAACAAUGUUCACAACAACUGAAAAUUCCUUGCUCUUUAAACACUUGUCACAUUUUUUCCUUAUCACACACGCUUCUCAGUAUUCCCUUAUCUCCUCCUCCUUGGCCUCCUCCGUUUCUCCCUCUGCUCCUCUCCAGACACUGGAGAGUCCGACGCUUGCUCAGAUGAAAUAGAACGUCUUUGCCAUUGAAUGUCAAGUUGUGAUCUCCAGUCCCUUCACCUCUCCUGAGCUGCAGACACAUAGUGACUCUGUACUUCCACUUGGACAUCCUAAGAAAUCUCCACAUCAACCUAACAUACAAAAUUGAACUUCUGCUCCCCAGCUGCAGCAGAUUUGUUUUCUUUCCAUUGUUAACAUCCCAGCAAAUGGUGCCACCAUCCAUCUAACAGCUGAAGUAAAAAACCUUGUUUCUCUAUGACUCACAUUUUGUCGAAUAAGCUCAUCUACAGCAAAGGAAACAGUUAACAAAACCAAAAGACAACUGACAGAAUGGGAGAAGAUAUUUGCAAACGACAUUAUCAGAUAAAGGGCUAGUGUCCAAAAUCUAUAAAGAACUUAGCAAACUCAACACCCAAAGAACAAAUAAUCCAAUCAAGAAAUGGGCAGAGGACAUGAACAGACAUUUCUACAAAGAAGACAUCCAGAUGGCCAACAGACACCUGAAAAAGUAUUCCACAUCACUCAGCAUCAGAGAAAUACAAAUCAAAACCAUAAUGAGAUACCACCUCAUACCAGUCAGAAUGGCUAAAGUUAACCAGUCAGAAAAUGACAGAUGCUGGCGAGGAUGCAGAGAAAGGGGAACCCUCCUACACUGUUGGUGGGAAUGUAAGCUGGUGCAACCACUCUGGAAAACAGCAUGGAGGUUCCUCAAAAAGUUGAAAAUAGAACUACCCUAUGACCCAGCAAUUGCACUACUGGGUAUUUACCCUAAAGAUACAAAUGUAAUGAUCCAAAGGGGCACGUGUGCCCAACUGUUUAUAGCAGAAAUGUCUACAAUAGCCAAACUAUGGACAGAACCUAGAUGUCCAUGAACAUAUGAAUGGAUAAAGAAGACGUGGUAUAUAUACACAAUGGAAUACUAUGCAGCCAUCAAAAGAAAUGAAAUCUUGCCAUUUGCGAUGACAUGGAUGGAACUAGAGGGUAUCAUGCUUAGUGAAAUAAGUCAAUUGGAGAAAGACAACUAUCAUAUGAUCUCCCUAAUAUGAGGAAGUGGAGAUGCAACUUGGGGGGGGGGGGUUGGGAGGUAGGAAAAGAAUAAAUGAAACAAGAUGGGAUCGAGAGGGAGACCAACCAUAAGUGACUCUUAAUCUCACAAAACAAACUGAGGGUUGCUGGGGGGAGAAGGGGAGGGAGAGGGGGGUAGGGUUAUGGACAUUGGGGAGAGUAUGUGCUAUGGUGAGUGCUGUGAAGUGUGUAAACCUGGUGAUUCACAGACCUGUACCCCUGGGGAUAAAAAUACAUUAUAUGGUUAUAAAAUUUUUAAAAAAAAAUUAAAAAAAAAAGAAAAAGCUCAUAUAUGUGCAUACACAAAAAUUAUUGUGGUUUUGAUAGGAAUUGAAUAUAACCUAUAUGUCAAUUUAGGGAGAUACAGUGUAUUUACAUGAACACAGUAUGCUUGCCCUAUUUAGUUCUUCCUUGAAUUCUUCCAUCAGCAUUUUGCAAUUAUCAGCUUAUAAGGCUUGUACAGGUCUAGUUAAGUUGCAUUUUCUUUGGAAUGAAUAUAAUGAUUUUUUUUUCUUUUUUUCUUUUCUAUGUACUUAGUGUACAGAAAUAAAAUUGAUUUUUUGUGUGUGGUGGUCUUAUAUCCUGCAACCUUGCUGAACUCAUUUAUUCUUGGAGUUUUGUUGGAAGAUUCCUUGGGAUUUUUCUAUGUUCAUGUCAUAGAUGUUCAUGUCAUCUAUAAAUGGGGAUAGUUGUAUAAUUUCCUUUUUGAUCUAAGUGCUCAUUAUUUAUUUUUCUUGCAUUAUGGCAGUGGCUGGCACUUCCAAGUUAAUGUUAAAUAAGAAUGGUGAAAACAGACAUUCUUGUCAUGUUCCCAAUCUUAGGGGAAAAUAGUCUUUCCAUAUUAAGUAUGAUGAUAACUGCAUUUUUUUCCAGAUGAUUUAUUGCCAGUUGAGGCAUUCCUCUCCAUUCCUAGCUUGCUGAGAGUUUUUAUCAUGAAUGAGUGCUGAACUAUACCUUUUUAUAUAUCAAUGCUUUUUUUAUGUCAAUUCAUGUGAUUAAAUGACUUUUAUUAUUUC